This 769-nucleotide non-coding RNA is filed under the name Melyridae sp. 'Dasytidae' GENSP01. The record is from RNAcentral. Lineage: Eukaryota; Metazoa; Arthropoda; Insecta; Coleoptera; Melyridae.
UUAAAAAUUUUUUAUAAAAAUAAUUUUACAUGUAAAUAUAAGUAUGAAUAAAAUCUUAUUUAAAUAAGAAGAAAUUUUAAUUAUUCGCAGUAUAAAAUAUUAAAUAUUAAAGAAAUUUAGAUUUAGUGAUUUUUAAUAAGUAUUAACAAAAUUUGUGCCAGCAGUUGCGGUUAUACAGAUAAUGCAUAAAAAAUUUUUUUUAGAUUUAGUUAAAUAAAAAUGAAUAAUAAAUAUAAAAUAUAAGUUUUUAGGUGAAAUUUAAAUUUAUAAAUAUAUUUAUAUAAAAGUUUUUGAAUCUAGUAAAUUUAUUAAUAAACUAGGAUUAGAUACCCUAUUAUAAUAAACGAAAAGGUAUUUUCUAAAUUAGUAUUAGUUAUGUUCUUGAAAAUUAAAAAAUUUGGCGGUAUUUUAGUCUUUUCAGAGGAACCUGUCCUAUAAUUGAUAGUCCACGAUUAAAUUUACUUUUUUUAUAAAUUUAUAUAUCGUCGUAGUUUGAAUAUUUUAGAAGAAUUAUUAAUAUUCAAAAUUUAAUAUAAUAAUAUAAAUCAGAUCAAGGUGUAGUUUAUAAAAAAGAAGAGAUGGGUUACAUUUAAUAUAUUAUUAGAUAUUAUUAUUUAAAUAUAAUUGAAAUUGGAUUUGAAAGUAAUUUUAUAUAUUUAUUUAAAAUGAUUAUUGCUCUAAAAUAUGUACAUAUUGCCCGUCGCUUUUGUUUUUAAAAUGAAAUAAGUCGUAACAAAGUAGAUUUACUGGAAAGUGAAUCUAGAAUCAA